GCGGAGUUCUUCCCGGAGUCCUGUUCCCAUGCAAGAGCAUUGACAAGUUUCCCAUUGAGAAAUAACCAUACACCAGUAGCUUCUCAUCCUUGGAGUAAUAAUAAGCACGCAAAGGAACCACAUUUGGAUGCUGUCCAACUCUACCAAUAAUUUCCAUCUGCUGUUCAAAGUCCUUCUUCCCCACAAUGACUUCUUUAAGUCUUUUAACCACCACUGUUGAUGACUCCUCCAAAAUAGCCUUAUAAGCAGUUCCAAAACUCCCCUUUCCUAGCACUUCAGCUGAGGCCCUCAAUAGGUCCUCGAGAUCGAAAUUGUAAGAGCUACCUUCAAAGAAAACAAGCUUAUUUUUGUCAGGUUCUUGCACCCCACUACCGAACUCUUCCCUCGGUUUUUCACUCCUUCCUCCGCCCGGAGAUUUCCCUUUCCGCACACCUCUGCCAUCACCCCUUUUUCUUCUCAGGCAGCACAAAACCAGGAUCACAACUAGCAGCAAGACUAGCACAACCCCUCCAGCAGCAAUAGCAAGAAUAACUCCUAGUUUAAGUUUCUUUUUUGAACUUUUU
This 563-nucleotide unclassified non-coding RNA is filed under the name Hevea brasiliensis (rubber tree). The record is from RNAcentral. Lineage: Eukaryota; Viridiplantae; Streptophyta; Magnoliopsida; Malpighiales; Euphorbiaceae.